AGGCAACACCCAAAGCCACUGUCAGAUGUCAUGGAGAUGAGACCUCACAAGGAAAGGUGAGGAGCCAAGAUGUCCCACUAGAUGCAGCCAAGGAGAGCUUCUCCAAUGGAAAGAGACCAGACCAUCAAGUAGACUGGCAUAUUCUGAAAAGAUCUCUGGAAAGAAGGCAUAGAGACUGGACAGAGGGAAGUUUCAAGCCCUGGGCUGAAAGAGGAGGAAUUUGGGAACCCUGCAUGGGAUUGCCUAGCACAAAGACUUGUUCCUGGCUCUAAGGUGAAGGGCCUACUCAACGUGAAGAUGAUGAGAAUGAAGACCUUUAUGAUGAUCUGCUUCCACUUAAAGAAUAGUAUUUGGCUGACUCCUGGACUAUGCAAGCACAAGAAGAGAUUUCAGAAGGUUUGGAAGAGAGUCUCUUCUGAGAGGCUGAGGGCUAAGAAGACUGCCCUGUGCAGGAAAGAUGUUGGAGUGCAAGCCCAUCUGGAAUGGAGAGACCUCGAUGAAACACAUAGGCAAUUAAUUAGAUCCCAGAAAGGCCACACUGUGCAAUUGACUGCAGGUAACUGAAACUGCGGAAAGUGAAACUGCAGAUAAGAGGGACCACUGUAAAUAAGUGACAUGAAUGAUACUGCAAAGGACCAUAGCCUAACCAGCCAAGCAAACUGGAAGUACCUUUAGACUCACGCUUUGCCAAGCUCAGUUCCAGAAUCACAUGAUGAAAAGAAUGAUGGAAAGAAAAUGUUUGUGAUAUUAAAAUUAAGGAAAUUACUCCAACUCAGAGUUUCAUCCUAAACUGAGAGACCAACAUCAAAAGAAUCUUCUCAAGUUUCUGAGUGACGGCAAGAAACUAGACUACUGUUACCAAGGAACUUUUUAAAGCAAACUGCUUUUGCUGAUAUGAGGAGAAAGUUAAUUAAUAAGAAAAUACCUUAAAUGUGUUUUGAAGCUGUUAAAGGUGUGUAACAAUUACUCUGAAUUUAUUAUAGCACCAGUUAGAGACCCAGGAAAACUAUAAAAUUGCACAUCAGGGCAGAGCUGAGAGACGACAUCUGCUUUGGGAUUGAAAAAAAAAAAAAAAAAAAAAAAAACAGAAAGGGAACAAGAGAAAUAGCAAGUCAUUUAACAUUUGGAAUUCAGGACUCCAGACUCAUCUAUAGGACCAAACUGCUCUUGAAAUAUACUAGAUUUCCUUUAGCUCCAGAGGUUUUGCCUUCAUCAAAUGCCUGUAACACUCUUAUUGUCAAAAGGAAUAAGUGAUGGUGAACACUGUGCCAGAUAGGAGGUACCACACACAGGUUCAGCAAAAAGCAGAAGCAAGAGGUAUAUUUUUUGUUAGAUCUUAGUUCAUCCCUAUGUAACAGACAUUUCAGGGAAGGGAGGAGAAAAUAACAAAGCUACCUAUGAGCAAAGGUAAAUGGGAUUCCCUAUCCUUGUUUCCCAGUUUCGGUCAUGGUAUUGCUUAUCCAUUAUUAGUUAUCCACUGCUGGGUAACAAAUUACUCCCAAACUUAGCAGCUUCAAACAACAAUAAACAUGUAUUAUGUCACAUAGUUUGUUUCAGAACUUUGGGAGUGGCUUAGCUGAAUGGUUGUAGCUCCAGGUGCUUUUUGUGGUUGCAGUCAAGAAGUCAGCCCAUUCACACAGCUGCAGACAAAAGGACUCGGUUCCUUGCAGGCUGAGGCCUGAUUAGGCAGGGGGCCUGAGUGUCUCGCCACAUGGACCUCUCCAUAGGGCUGCUUUUCGUGGCAUGGCAGCUGACUCCCCUCAGAACAGAUGAUCAAAAGCAGCAAAAGAGAAGCCUCACAUGACUUUUGCCCUAGCCUUGGGAAUCACACUCUUCCAUUUCUACAAAAUCCUAUUGGUUACAUAGC
Molecule: long non-coding RNA, 1867 nt
Filed under: Homo sapiens (human)
Lineage: Eukaryota; Metazoa; Chordata; Mammalia; Primates; Hominidae
Description: HSALNT0307676
Source: RNAcentral